Molecule: transfer RNA, 101 nt
Organism: Aspergillus oryzae RIB40
Lineage: Eukaryota; Fungi; Ascomycota; Eurotiomycetes; Eurotiales; Aspergillaceae
Rfam family: tRNA
About the family: Transfer RNA (tRNA) molecules are approximately 80 nucleotides in length. Their secondary structure includes four short double-helical elements and three loops (D, anti-codon, and T loops).
Source: Rfam
GGCACUUUGGCGGAGUGGUUAACGCGAUGGCCUGCUAUGCCCUCGGUAUAUCAGCCCAGCCAUUCCCUUCGGGGGCGUGAGUUCGAAUCUCACAGGUGUCG